CAGAGAGUAGUUUAUGAAAAUAUUAAUUUUGGGGAUUGAUGAUAAGAGGUUUUCUUUUCUCUGA
RNAcentral lists this transfer RNA (64 nucleotides) under Polyphaga aegyptiaca. RNAcentral's name for it is "tRNA-Pro". The record is from RNAcentral. Lineage: Eukaryota; Metazoa; Arthropoda; Insecta; Blattodea; Corydiidae.